RNA transcript from Coccinella septempunctata (seven-spotted ladybird), 4121 nucleotides. It is a transcript of the gene named protein ECT2, with no coding region annotated. Lineage: Eukaryota; Metazoa; Arthropoda; Insecta; Coleoptera; Coccinellidae. The transcript has 12 exons. The record is from RefSeq and is a predicted model, not a curated record.
CCUUUUCCUACCUGUCGCGACGGUUUAAAAAGUGAAUUCCAACCAAUCACGGAAAGUUAUUUAACUUCAAAGUUACUAUGGUGCAUUUUCUUACCAAACAAAGUAAAAAUACAAAAAUAUGAAACUUAAAUCUAUCAAAAUGUCGAGAACUAAUGUGAAGUCGAUGGAAAGUGUUCAAUUCAAGUGAUAUGUUGCAUUGUUGUCGUCAUUUUUAUACACUUUUUGUAUUAUUUUUAUGGAUGUUAUAACCAAUAAUCCUGUGGUCAAAAUGGACGAAGUUAACAACGUUCGUCAAAACAAUUUAAUACCGCAGUAUUCAACCUGCAGUUUCGAUUCUAAUGGAGAUGAACAAAGCAAAUGUGAUAAUGCAUCCCCAUAUCAACGUAUAUGCUUUAUUGGCGAUGUUGCUUUUGAUAAUGACUUACGAACAGUUGCUGAACAUUAUAACUUGCCAAUUAUUACAUCUGAAACAGGUCGAGAUUUUGCUCAAGACAAUAAUUGCAGUACAAUAUUUGUGAUAGAUAAGUUCCAAGGCACGACUUUUUCCAAUUUAUACAAAGCAAAACAGCCUAUAUUAGGGCCACCUGCCUUGAAGCAGUUAGUUAUGAGAAAUGAACCUCUUCCAAAUAAUAAGACUAGGCCUUUAUAUAACCUUGCAAUGUCUGGAGUUGUUGUUUGCUUCACAGGUUUUAGAAAUAAGGAUGAUUUGGCAAAAUUAGUACCUUUGAUACAUCACAUGGGUGGUUCAAUUAGGAAGGAAAUGUCUGCCAAAGUAACUCAUUUAAUAGCCUACACUUGUGGAGGACAGAAGUAUCACUAUGCGGCUACGUUUAAAGUACCUGUUCUGAAUCAGAGUUGGGUAUUAGAUGCGUGGGAAGAAAGAUAUGACCUCGAUUUUUCUGCUACAAAUGAUAAUUUUUUGUAUCAACACAAACUGAAACCUUUCCAAGGCGCUCAUAUAAGAUUUGAAGGCUUUCCGGAGGAUGAGGAAGAGCACAUGAGAGAAGUGUUAAUUUCUAAUGGGGGUACAGUUAGUGAGAGCAAUGAUCCAAAUUGCACUCAUGUUGUGAUGGAUUACAGAGAAGGCUUCAGUAUGGACGCAGGUGCACAGUUAACCUCACCCGCUAUCGAACCCCCCACCCUUCCUAACCUAAAUGACACUCCUCCCGUUGCCAAAGACACGGUCGACGACCUGGAGUCGUUCAGUCGAUUCCAGAACAUCUACAACACCCCCUUGAACUCGACAGCUCGCAGCGUUUUUUUGGAAACGCUUGACGAGAAAUCGCACGACGACAGCGAGGUGGGUAGCGUUUUCGAUCAAACGAUGAACACCACCACCUCCUCGAAUCGAAAGAGGAAAAUAGAAUCUCCCGAGUAUUUCUCCAACGUCAAGAGAAAGAGGGACAAGAGCUUCAGCGAGAAGAAAAAGCGGGUCUCGAACUUUUUCAAGACCCCAAUCAAUUACUUCUCGCAAAGGAGGCGUACGAUACAUUCUACCAGCUUCAACGGCAGCCUCAACGAGAGCGUUAUCUCUAGUUCUGGCGUGUUCAACGUGGACACCGUCCAGGAUCUCAGCAACACCGUCGAAAGGCCCGAGACUCCGGUCUGCAAGAAGUCGAAGAAGAACCUGCUGAGACGGACGUUCAGCUCGAAAUUUUCGGCGAGCAAGAAGAGGUCGAAGAUGGACCUUGACACUUCCAAAUUGUCGUUGAUAGAAGGGGGUCGAGAAGCGGACGAGGUCGACAAGUUCAAUACUUCCUGUUUUCCGGCCAUUGGCCGAGUUCCUGCCAUCCCAAGCCUAGCACCCGAUCAAACCGAGCCUAGCAAUGAGUUGACCAGGGAGUUAAGGGGGCUCUCCGUAACAUCAGCUGCGGUUGUGGAUGAGUCUUCAGUAGGGGAGAAGCCAGACGCUAAUGUGAAGACAUGGGUGGUGAAAGCAGAGUGGUUUUGGAUGUCUGUGCAGAAGCAAAUCACACAGUGCGAGAAGGAUUACUUGUUUGAUGAUUACAUCGAACAGGUGCUUUCCCCUAACGGAAGGAGGGACUCCCAUCAGGCAACGCCAAGCAGCGCCAGCAGGAGGAAGCGCAAAAGGAUCCACGAAACCAUCCAGUCACUUGUCAAUCAGCAUUCGCCCACAUUGCAUAAGCGUCGGUCGUCUGUCAGCGAUGCAGGUCUUCUAUCCGUGUCGGGCUCAUUUUUAGAUUGUACGGCCAGUCCGGACAAGGCCCUUUUGGACGGUGCCGAAGUAGCCGACACCCCCCGAAAGGGCAAAACUGCUCGGCAUCAGGUGUUCCUCGAACUGUUGCAGACAGAGUCGAACUACGUUAGCAUUCUCGAAACCAUAAUGACGAUGUUCAAAAAGCAUCUUGAGGAAAUGCCGGAGGAGGAAGCACUUCUCAACAAUACGGAACUGAAUCUGAUUUUCGGCAAAAUCCCUCCAAUCUACGAUGUGCACGUCAAGAUGCUCGGCGAACUGAAAAAGACUGCCGCGCAGUGGACUGAAGACCGAUGCAUCGGAAGUAUAAUCGUGAAGUACGCGAACGAACUGUUGAAGGCCUAUCCCCCUUUCAUCAACUAUUUUGAGGAAAUGAAGGAGGUGCUGAUACGGUGCGAUCAGAACAAACCCAGAUUCCAUGCUUUCCUGAAGGCCUGUCAGACACGGCCGGAAUGCGGCAGGCAGAGCCUCACGGAGUUGAUGAUCAGACCGGUACAGCGGCUGGGAAGUGUCAGUCUCCUGUUAAAUGAUAUUUUGAAAAAUACUCCAAAAACUAAUCCAGACAAUGCUGCCCUCGAUCAAGCUCAAGAAGUACUGAAAGAAAUUAUGACGCAUAUAAAUGAGGAUAAGAGAAAAACUGAAGGCCAAGUGACAUUGUUCAAUAUUUUCAACGAAAUCGAUAACUGUCCGCCUGACAUGGUGUCUUCCCACAGAAUUUUUAUUGCCAAGUCGGAAGUGAUACAGUUAAAUUCACCAGAUGUAUUGUCGAGUAAGGGCAAUAACUUGGUUCUUUUCCUCUUCUCCGAUCAAUUGGAAGUCUGCAAAAAAAAGUCUAAAGCCUUCAACAGCCUGAAAAGCCCAACCGGCGUCAGUACGUCUCAGGGCAAGACCAAUUGUAAGCCCUACAAGCACAUCAGGAUGAUGGCUUUGAACACAAUCAAGAAGGUCAUAGACAUAAAGGAGACUGAGGACUGCCAGAAAGUUUUCAGUCUGGUUUGUAGGCAUAAUGACGAGGUAAAGGAGAGGUUGUAUUGUUUUGCGAUGGCCGACGAAGAUGCAGACAAGGCUGACUUUCUGAAGACCCUCACCAAGCAAAUGGCGACGAAUUCAUGUACAGCUGAUGCGGAUAAGUUUAUGGCUUAUCUGGAGCCUCAACAGCUGGAAAUCGAUACCAGUGAUCUCAGUAAUGGAACGCUCUCUAAAGCCAUCAAGUUCGCGAGUCGAACGAAAAUGAAGGUCGGGAGGGCGUUUUCUUUCAACAAAACGCCCUCCAAACUGAAAAGGGCCGUGUCUUCCAUGAUGUCGCCCUUCGGCAGCUCUACAAACCUCACCCCGGCCAACCAGCUAGCACAGAUGAAGUUGGCCAGUUAUAGUAAUAUCAAUGUAAGUAUGUUCAGAAUGUGGCGGAGUUUCAAAUUGUGAUCAUACCCCUUUUUUGUGCCGAGGUUCGUUUGACGCCAGAGUAGUCAGUUGGUACGUCAGUUUAUUUUGAAGGAAAUAGGAAAUGGUGAAAAUGAACCUGAAAAUCCGCCACAAGCCCCUUUAUCGGUACAACCCACUCGUAAAAUGAAAUCAUCGUCGUUAAGCGUAAAUGCAAUGAAAAGAUUAUAACAGUUAGUGCUUCAGAUAUCACUUUUUUAAGUUUUAUCUCUGUCGAAUAUUUGUAUAUAGACAUAAUAGAUCAAAAUAAUAAUUAAGGAUUAGAUUAACUAAAUUCUAUUAUUUAUGUUUUAAAAUCAAUAUUUUAAUUGUGAUUGGAAAGUAAUUCAAGCAAUUUUUAAAACACUGUAAUAUAUUUAUUCUACCCAGAUUAUAAACUGUACAAAUUGUAGUUUUAUACCAUGUUAAAUACACCUUAUAGGUGACUUUUAAUUCAAUAUAUUUUAUGCUUCUGAAUUUACACUUA